GUACUCAUGGGGUAAGUGAUAAAUCUUUAUCAUCCAUAUGGGGACCACCUGUGGUGAAAGCGCUCGGAUUAAACACGUCUAGACGGUGAGAGAACGAAGGUAGGAGCACAAAUCGGAUUAUAUACCCGAGUAGCCCUAGCAGUAAGCUAUGCAAACUUGGUGUUACAGUGAACUACGGGUCCAUUGUUCCGCCGGAGNGGAGGUGUUAAGUUUGCCACCUGGGAACUACGAUCGCAAGGUUGAAACUUAAAGGAAUUGGCGGGGGAGCACCACCAGGGGUGGGAGCUGUGGUUUAAUUGGAUGAAACGCCUGAAAUAUUACCAGGGGCGACGGCAGGAUGACGGCCAGGCUAAUGGUCUUGCCUGACGCGCCGAGAGGUACUGCAUGGCCAUCCUAAGCUCGUGGCGUGAGUUGUCCGCUUAAGUGCGGUAACGAGCGAGACCCUCAUCCAUAGUUGCUAUCUCUUUCUCAGGAAAGAGAGCACUCUAUGGAGACUGCCCGCGUUAAGUGGGAGCAAGGUGAGGGCCACGAUAGGUCAGUAUAGUCCGAAUCCCUUGGGCUACACGCGGCUCACAAAGGUCAAGACAAUGGGCGAGCCACUCCGAAAGGAGGAGCCAAUCCUAAAACUUGAUCUCAGUCCGGAUUGAGGGUUGAAACUCACCCUCAUGAAGAUGGAAUCCGUAGUGUGCGCGAUCAGUAC
RNAcentral lists this ribosomal RNA (700 nucleotides) under uncultured archaeon. RNAcentral's name for it is "bacterial SSU rRNA". It matches the Rfam family "Archaeal small subunit ribosomal RNA", at positions 615 to 1311 of the family's 1478-position model. The record is from RNAcentral.